Long non-coding RNA from Vidua macroura (Pin-tailed whydah), 1228 nucleotides. RefSeq lists it as uncharacterized. Lineage: Eukaryota; Metazoa; Chordata; Aves; Passeriformes; Viduidae. The transcript is spliced from 3 exons. The record is from RefSeq and is a predicted model, not a curated record.
CCAGCCCCGAGCAGAGCGGGACAAUCCCUCCCUUGCCGGGCUGGCCAUGCUGGGCCUGCUGCCCCCAGGACAGGGAUGUCCCUCCUGGCUGGGAACCUGAACUCCACAGCUCUUUCUGAGCUGCUGUAAUCCUCUGCUCAACCAUCCACUUGCUCUCUGCAAACCCAAGGAACGAACAUGACCACUGCCUGCAGACCCUCACCAUGGAUUUGGAAUCUGCUCUGUGCCAGCAGAAAGGCACUCCUGUGUCCCAGUGGGCACUGGGUGACUCUUUCCCCUGACAGAUUCCCCUGACAUUCUUCCUGCUGAAGAAGGCUUCUAGCAGCUUAUCAUCAGGGCAGGCUACAUUUCUUGGCUGGCUGGUGCAUAUUUGAACUUCAGUUCUCACUCUUGGGACCUGCAGCCACAGUUCUCUUCCAGCAGAAAUCCCAAGUCUAAAAGCAGCACAACAGAUGUGACCAUUUUGCAGUGAAUGAGCCCAGGUGUGACUAGAUUGUUCCAUUCAGGUGCAUUGGGAUCCACUGCUGGCUUUUAUUUUCAUUUUCACUGGAAGUCACGCAGCCAAACAGAUCUCUGCUGGCACCUAGAAUAUUCAUGUGGAGAGGAAGGAGGAUGGAAGAAAAGGAUGGGAAAAAUUAUGUAUGCACUGAGAAGUACCAACAGUGAUUUUGGAAUGUGAGGCAGAGAGAAACUCGAGCAGCAGUGUGUGCUGCUGUUCUCCUGGUCCCAUCCCUGUGGCACCUUCUGUCUCUUCCCUUUACUCCAUACAGAUGCACAGAUGUUGAAUAGUCCUGGAGAUAGGAUUGUGAUUUAAUGGAGUUUGCCACUACGGGCUCUGUAAAAGCAGAAAGGAAGAUUUUGAGACAUUGCAGACCAUCUUUUUUAAUUUCUGCUGUCUCCUGGCAGUGAAGCAAAGUAGAGUGCCAGUAAAUAACAAGGUUCUGCAGCAAUUUGUAUUUCAGUGACACAGAACUUUUCCUUCAAAGUUGCUUAAUAUGCCAUUUUCUUUCUCCUGCUUUUGCUGUGACAGUAUAUUGAAUUUCUCUUCCUCCCCACUUUCAAUUAAUGCAAGAUGAGCCUUUUUUCAAAGGCCUUGUGGGAGUCAGGCACCCAUCUUUCAUCAAUUUUCCAUCUGAGCUGGCACCAAAUUUACUUAGACAACUCUUGAAAUCUCACCCGUGGAGUUUGAUAGUUAACUAAAGAGUCCUUAUUGGAAACUAUGAUUAUU